GGCUGUACCACCCUGAAUGCGCCCAAUCUUGCCUGAUCUUGGAAGCUAAGCAGGGUCAGGCCUAGUUAGUACCUGGAUAGGAGUUUGAAUCCUAAGAUCUACCACUU
Sus scrofa (pig) is the source of this 107-nucleotide non-coding RNA. Lineage: Eukaryota; Metazoa; Chordata; Mammalia; Artiodactyla; Suidae. The record is from Rfam.